UCAGCUGAGCUCCUCACACACCCUGCCACACCUGAGCUGCCACACUGGCUGCUUCCAAGAAGUUUUCGAAGCCAAUCCCCACCAGCCUGGGAGUUUCAGGGAGGGGAAGGCGAGAUAGCUAAAGGCAGCCCAGGGUGAGGGCUGAAUUCUGCCCUCUGGAAGCCACCCUUCCUUGCUUCCAGCUAGAGGGAACCUGGAAAACAGGACAGAGAGAUGAGCCAAGCAGAGGAAACCCCUCUCUUCCCACCAGCAGCACUCAUCUCCCCUACCCCAACAAAGGGACUCCAAUUCA
Phascolarctos cinereus (koala) is the source of this 292-nucleotide long non-coding RNA. RefSeq lists it as uncharacterized. The record is from RefSeq and is a predicted model, not a curated record. NCBI's taxonomy places the organism in Eukaryota, Metazoa, Chordata, Mammalia, Diprotodontia, Phascolarctidae.